This 119-nucleotide unclassified non-coding RNA is filed under the name Aspergillus flavipes. RNAcentral describes it as "partial miscellaneous RNA". Lineage: Eukaryota; Fungi; Ascomycota; Eurotiomycetes; Eurotiales; Aspergillaceae. The record is from RNAcentral.
ACUGCCCUCAAGCCCGGCUUGUAUUGGGUCCUCGUCCCCCCGGGGACGGGCCCGAAAGGCAGCGGCGGCACCGCGUCCGGUCCUCGAGCGUAUGGGGCUUUGUCACCCGCUCUGUAGGC